Molecule: ribosomal RNA, 322 nt
Filed under: uncultured eukaryote
Lineage: Eukaryota
Description: partial 18S ribosomal RNA
Rfam family: Eukaryotic small subunit ribosomal RNA
Source: RNAcentral
CCCUUAGAUGUUCUGGGCCGCACGCGUGCUACACUGAGUGGAUCAGCGGGUCAGGUUGCGCGAAAGUGUUUCCUAAUCUUGAAAUCCGCUCGUGAUGGGGAUUGACGGUUGCAAUUUUCUGUCAUGAACGAGGAAUACCUUGUAAGCGCGGGUCAUCAUCCCGCGCUGAAUACGUCCCUGCCCUUUGUACACACCGCCCGUCGCUCCUACCGAUUGAGUGGUCCGGUGGGGCUUUGGGAUCUGGAUGGAAAGAGCGUUUCGCUGUUUCUGCCCGGAAAACUCAGUCGAACCUUAUCAUUUAGAGGAAGGAGAAGUCGUAACA